RNAcentral lists this unclassified non-coding RNA (204 nucleotides) under Hevea brasiliensis (rubber tree). The record is from RNAcentral. Lineage: Eukaryota; Viridiplantae; Streptophyta; Magnoliopsida; Malpighiales; Euphorbiaceae.
AAGGAAGAAAGGGUCUGAUUAGGCCUUUGCAAGUCCAUUUAUGUUUUAAUAUUCCUUGAGUGGUAUAUUUAUGGCAUUUUCUGAUAAUUUAAUAUUAGUAUAGCUUGUGUUAUAUGUCUGUAAGACUGUAACUACCAUUAUGCAACUCUAAACCAUGAGUUUCUAAUAUAUACUUUGGAUUGCAGGUGAUUGAUAAAGUUCAGG